AAAAACUCCGGUGGUAUACGAUGGAUCCGCGUCUGAUUAGCUUGUUGGCGGGGUAAAGGCCCACCAAGGCGACGAUCAGUAGCCGGCCUGAGAGGGUGAACGGCCACAUUGGGACUGAGACACGGCCCAAACUCCUACGGGAGGCAGCAGUGGGGAAUAUUGCACAAUGGGGGAAACCCUGAUGCAGCGACGCCGCGUGAGUGAAGAAGUAUUUCGGUAUGUAAAGCUCUAUCAGCAGGGAAGAAAAUGACGGUACCUGACUAAGAAGCCCCGGCUAACUACGUGCCAGCAGCCGCGGUAAUACGUAGGGGGCAAGCGUUAUCCGGAUUUACUGGGUGUAAAGGGAGCGUAGACGGCAGCGCAAGUCUGGAGUGAAAUCCCAUGGCUUAACCAUGGAACUGCUUUGGAAACUGUGCAGCUAGAGUGCAGGAGAGGUAAGCGGAAUUCCUAGUGUAGCGGUGAAAUGCGUAGAUAUUAGGAGGAACACCAGUGGCGAAGGCGGCUUACUGGACUGUAACUGACGUUGAGGCUCGAAAGCGUGGGGAGCAAACAGGAUUAGAUACCCUGGUAGUCCACGCUGUAAACGAUGAUUACUAGGUGUUGGGGGACCAAGGUCCUUCG
Molecule: ribosomal RNA, 621 nt
Filed under: uncultured bacterium
Lineage: Bacteria
Description: bacterial SSU rRNA
Rfam family: Bacterial small subunit ribosomal RNA
Source: RNAcentral